RNAcentral lists this ribosomal RNA (251 nucleotides) under uncultured prokaryote. RNAcentral's name for it is "partial 16S ribosomal RNA". It matches the Rfam family "Bacterial small subunit ribosomal RNA", at positions 524 to 774 of the family's 1533-position model. The record is from RNAcentral.
UACGGAGGAUGCAAGCGUUAUCCGGAUUUAUUGGGUUUAAAGGGUGCGCAGGUUGUUUGAUAAGUCAGUGGUGAAAGUCUGUCGCUUAACGGUAGGAUUGCCAUUGAUACUGUUGGACUUGAAUAUGGAUGAGGUAGGCGGAAUGUGUAGUGUAGCGGUGAAAUGCAUAGAUAUUACACAGAACACCGAUUGCGAAGGCAGCUUACUAAUCCAUCAUUGACGCUGAGGCACGAAAGCGUGGGUAGCGAACA